AAGGUGGGUAUGAAAUGACACACACGUACUAUAACGAUACGUCGGGGUGCCUAUGAAAAUAGGUCGAUGUUGAGGGUGCGUGGAGGCCUAAC
Molecule: small RNA, 92 nt
Filed under: Thalassolituus oleivorans
Lineage: Bacteria; Pseudomonadati; Pseudomonadota; Gammaproteobacteria; Oceanospirillales; Oceanospirillaceae
Also listed under: 1 other name
Description: t44 RNA
Rfam family: t44 RNA
About the family: This family consists of a number of bacterial RNA genes of between 135 and 170 bases in length. The t44 gene is found between the map and rpsB genes in all species in the full alignment apart from Shigella flexneri.
Source: RNAcentral